GAUGAACGCUAGCGGCAGGCCUAAUACAUGCAAGUCGAACGAGAUUAAGAGGCUUGCUUCUUAUGAAAGUGGCGCACGGGUGCGUAACGCGUAUGCAACCUACCUUAAUCAGGGGGAUAGCCCGAAGAAAUUCGGAUUAAGACCGCAUAAAACAAAGGAAAGCAUUAUUCAAUGUUCAAAUAUUUAUAGGAUUAAGAUGGGCAUUCGUGGAAUUCGGUAUUUGGCGGGGUAACGGCCCGCCAAGGCCACGUUAACUAGGGGAUUUGAGAGGAUGCCCCCCCACACUGUUACUGAGACACGGCCCAGACUCCUCCGGGGGGCACAAUUAAGGAAUAUGGGCAAAGGGGGGGAACCCUGACCCACCCAUGCCGCGUGAAGAAAGCCAGCCCCCUGGGUCGUAAACUUCUUUUAUUGGGAAAAAAACCUUUCUACGUGUAGGAAGCGGAAUUUACCGAAGGAAAAAGGACCGGCUACCUCCGU
RNAcentral lists this ribosomal RNA (480 nucleotides) under uncultured bacterium. RNAcentral's name for it is "partial 16S ribosomal RNA". It matches the Rfam family "Bacterial small subunit ribosomal RNA", at positions 28 to 506 of the family's 1533-position model. The record is from RNAcentral.